GAUGAACGCUGGCGGCGUGCCUAAUACAUGCAAGUCGAGCGAACAGACGAGGAGCUUGCUCCUCUGACGUUAGCGGCGGACGGGUGAGUAACACGUGGAUAACCUACCUAUAAGACUGGGAUGACUUCGGGAGACCGGUGCUAAUACCGGAUAAUAUAUUGUACCGCAUGGUUCAAUAGUUCAUGACGGUUUUCCCGUCUCUAAUAGCUGGAUCCGCGUCGCAUUAGCUAGUUGGUAAGGUAACGGCUUACCAAGGCGACGAUGCGUAGCCGACCUGAGAGGGUGAUCAGCCACACUGGAACUGAGACACGGUCCAGACUCCUACGGGAGGCAGCAGUAGGGAAUCUUCCGCAAUGGGCGAAAGCCUGACGGAGCAACGCCGCGUGAGUGAUGAAGGUCUUCGGAUCGUAAAACUCUGUUAUUAGGGAAGAACAAAUGUGGAAGUAACUAUGCACGUCUUGACGGUACCUAAUCAGAAAGCCACGGCUAACUACGUG
This 497-nucleotide ribosomal RNA is filed under the name uncultured bacterium. RNAcentral describes it as "partial 16S ribosomal RNA". It matches the Rfam family "Bacterial small subunit ribosomal RNA", at positions 28 to 507 of the family's 1533-position model. The record is from RNAcentral.